AUCAUUACAGAGUUCAUGCCCUUCGGGGUAGAUCUCCCACCCUAUGUAUUUAUACCUUUGUUGCUUUGGUAGGCCGUCACACUUCGGUCUGACCACUGGCUUCGGCUGGUGCGUGCCUGCCAGAGGACCCCAAACUCUGAAUGUUAGUGUCGUCUGAGUACUAUAUAAUAGUUAAAACUUUCAACAACGGAUCUCUUGGUUCUGGCAUCGAUGAAGAACGCAGCGAAAUGCGAUAAGUAAUGUGAAUUGCAGAAUUCAGUGAAUCAUCGAAUCUUUGAACGCACAUUGCGCCCUCUGGUAUUCCGGAGGGCAUGCCUGUUCGAGCGUCAUUACAACCCUCAAGCUCUGCUUGGUAUUGGGCUUCAGGCGUCAGCCUGGGCCUUAAAAUCAGUGGCGGUGCCGUCUGGCUCUAAGCGUAGUAAAUCUCUCGCUAUAGACGUCGGGUGGAGACUUGCCAUAACCCCCAAUUUUUACAGGUUGACCUCGGAUCAGGUAGGGAUACCCGCUGAACUUAAGCAUAUCAAUAAGCGGAGGA
Molecule: ribosomal RNA, 535 nt
Filed under: uncultured Helotiales
Lineage: Eukaryota; Fungi; Ascomycota; Leotiomycetes; Helotiales
Description: eukaryotic LSU rRNA
Rfam family: 5.8S ribosomal RNA (bases 176-329)
Source: RNAcentral